CCAGACUCCUACGGGAGGCAGCAGUGGGGAAUAUUGCACAAUGGGGGAAACCCUGAUGCAGCGACGCCGCGUGAAGGAAGAAGUAUCUCGGUAUGUAAACUUCUAUCAGCAGGGAAGCAAACAGACGGUACCUGACUAAGAAGCCCCGGCUAACUACGUGCCAGCAGCCGCGGUAAUACGUAGGGGGCAAGCGUUAUCCGGAUUUACUGGGUGUAAGGGGAGCGUAGACGGUCCUGCAAGCCAGAUGUGAAAGCCCGGGGCCCAACCCCGGGACUGCUCUUGGAACUGCGUGGCUGGAGUGCAGGAGGGGCAGGCGGAAUUCCUGGUGUAGCGGUGAAAUGCGUAGAUAUCAGGAGGAACACCGGUGGCGAAGGCGACUUACUGGACUGUAACUGACGUUGAGGCACGAAAGUGUGGGGAGCAAACAGGAUUAGAUACCCCAGUACG
Molecule: ribosomal RNA, 447 nt
Filed under: uncultured bacterium
Lineage: Bacteria
Description: bacterial SSU rRNA
Rfam family: Bacterial small subunit ribosomal RNA
Source: RNAcentral